GUACACCUGUUGCAGGUAGAGAAGCAUUGCUACAGAUGGAUGAUCUUUGAAGUUCCCAAACCUAAGAUUCUGUGUGUGGUGGAAAGUGAAACGGGAAAAGGAGAUUGGAGUUAAACUAGAAGACUUUCAAAUUCAGUUCUAAAGACUUGAACAUCUGGAAGUUCUCAGUUCACAUACUGCUGAAGCCCAGCUUGAAGGAUUUUGAGCAUAACCUUGCUAGCGUGUGAAGGUCUCAGGUGGUCCGUCUCCUAACCUUGAUGAGUCUCUCUGGUCCCUUUAAGCUGGCCUCGGGUGGUUUCAUGGCUGCUCCUCCCUUGAUUAGCAACUGCUCGAAUUUGCUUUUUGGAACUCAGAACAUGAAGACUUUCUGAGCAGAUUGUCAUCAAAAGAUCAGCAGACUUUUUCAAAAAUGUCAAAUCACAUAUAAGUUUCUCACAAGUGAUGAAAUCACUGAUACCGCAAGUUUCCAAUUAACAGGACUAUACAAGGAAUUACUUCCUUUACACUUUGGACUCCAUAGCUUGUGUUCGGAAUCCCAGUGGUCUCCACUGACAUUGAAGUCAGAGCUCGAAAAUACCACCAGGUGGCGCCAAUACCACUUUAAUAGAUUGAGAAAUGGCCAAGCUUGUUUCUAAUAAACAUAAAUCCUUCCAAUUUUUUUUAAAGAAUUUUUAAAAUUUCUUUCUUUCUUUACUGUUCUGGGUCUUUGUUUCUGCGUGGGCUUUUCUCUAGUUGAGGUGAGCAGGGGCUAUUCUCUAGGUGUGGUGGCUUUGGCUUCUCCUUAGGGUGGUUUCUCUUGUUGCAGAGAGGGGGGCUCAGUAGUUGUGGCUCACGGGCUUAGCUGCAUGUGGGAUAUUCCUGUACCAGGGGUGUAACCUGUGUGCCCUGCAUUGGAAGGCGGAUUCAUAACCACUGGACUACCUGGAAAGUCCUGUCCAAAUUUUAAAGUUCCUAAUAGAUGUAUCUGAAAGUUCUGCAAAGUCUAGCUCUAGUUACAGAGGAGAUCAGGUAUUACUUGAGGAAAAAGUAGGUAGAAUGUUAAAUGCAUCUCCUUGACAUGCAUGCUGACC
Molecule: long non-coding RNA, 1070 nt
Organism: Bos taurus (domestic cattle)
Lineage: Eukaryota; Metazoa; Chordata; Mammalia; Artiodactyla; Bovidae
Source: Ensembl